GACGAACGCUGGCGGCGUGCUUAACACAUGCAAGUCGAACGGAAAGGCCCUGCUUUUGUGGGGUGCUCGAGUGGCGAACGGGUGAGUAACACGUGAGUAACCUGCCCUUGACUUUGGGAUAACUUCAGGAAACUGGGGCUAAUACCGGAUAGGAGCUCCUGCUGCAUGGUGGGGGUUGGAAAGUUUCGGCGGUUGGGGAUGGACUCGCGGCUUAUCAGCUUGUUGGUGGGGUAGUGGCUUACCAAGGCUUUGACGGGUAGCCGGCCUGAGAGGGUGACCGGCCACAUUGGGACUGAGAUACGGACCAGACUCCUACGGGGGGCAGCAGUGGGGAAUAUUGCACAAUGGGCGGAAGUCUGAGGCAGCAACGUCGCGUGCGGGAUGACGGCCUUCUGGUUGUAAACCGCUUUCGCCUGUGACGAAGCGUGAGUGACGGUAAUGGGUAAAGAAGCACCGGCUAACUACGUG
RNAcentral lists this ribosomal RNA (468 nucleotides) under uncultured bacterium. RNAcentral's name for it is "partial 16S ribosomal RNA". It matches the Rfam family "Bacterial small subunit ribosomal RNA", at positions 28 to 507 of the family's 1533-position model. The record is from RNAcentral.